This is an RNA transcript of Cucurbita moschata (crookneck pumpkin), 2065 nucleotides long. RefSeq lists it as uncharacterized. The record is from RefSeq and is a predicted model, not a curated record. The transcript has 16 exons. Lineage: Eukaryota; Viridiplantae; Streptophyta; Magnoliopsida; Cucurbitales; Cucurbitaceae.
UUUAUACGACAGACUAAUUAAAGUUAUCCAUCUAUUCCCGCCAUACCUCUCUUCACCGCUCCGGCGCGUCACCGGCCACCGGAGAGAACGAUGCUUCAGUGCUACUUCACGCCUCGCUCAAUUUCACCUUUCAUUUCUUGUCAACUCUCUACCACCUCAGUGCGCACUCAUUCUUCUCCUUCGCCGCCGCCACCUCUGCUGUCUUUCUCUGCGAAAUCAACUCCGGACUCACUAUCCUCGCCGGCGUGUGCACUCCAGUGCACUCACUUUCAAUCGUGCUCCGGAUGCACACACGAGUUCGACCUCCACCGGCCGGUCAUCGUUGAGGAGGCGACUCAAUUCUUCAACAAUCUUGGAGUAUCGGAUUUUACAUUUGAUAGUUGCAAACUGUGGGGAUGGAGGUGCCGUGCGAAAUUAGCCGUUCGUGGCUCGUCUACAAACCCUAUGAUUGGGCUUUAUCAAGAGGGAACUCAUAAUGUCGUGGAUAUUCCUGAUUGCAAAGCUCAUCACCCUAAUAUAAAUGCGGCAGUUCAAUUGUUAAAACGAGGUAUCACUGAAUUAAACGUAGAGCCUUAUGAUGAAGAUCAGGGGACUGGUGAUCUGCGAUAUGUUCAGAUGGCUGUGACGACUUAUAGCACAUCCCUUCCUUCCUCAGAAAGAUACAAAAAUGGUAAGAUACAGAUAGCUUUAGUUUGGAAUUCAAGGAGUGAAACUUCACAGAAUUCUGACAAGCUAAAUGCAUUAGCCAAUUUCUUAUGGAAAAAUGGUGGUGCCCGAAGUAAUACUCAUCUAGUUCAUUCUGUGUGGGCAAAUUUUCAAACAUCAUCUAACAAUGUAAUAUUUGGUAAUAGAUGGAGGCAUCUUUUAGGCGAAAGAGAUUUUUGGGAGCAUGUUGGUGGAAUAGACAUUUGCCUGACACCAUCAAGUUUUGGCCAAGCAAAUACACAGGCUUUUGAUAGCUUGCUCCGGAAGUUGCAGAAGUAUGUUCCAUAUGGAGCAUCAGUUGCUGAUUUGUAUGCAGGAGCUGGUGUGAUUGGAUUAUCAUUAGCUGCCACAAGGAAAUGCAGAUUUGUGAAGUGUGUCGAGGUCAACAAAGAGUCUAAGCUAUCAUUUGAGAAAACAGUCGAACGUCUACCGGACCGAGUUGAUGGCAGUAUCAGCUGGCACCAUGCAGACACUUCAAAAGAUCCUCUUACUUGGAUUGUGGGAUCAGACGUAGUUGUUGUCGAUCCGCCAAGAAAAGGUUUGGAUGCAUCACUUGCUGAUACAUUGAGAGAUAUAGCAUCACUAAAGCGUAAAGUGAAGUCAUUAUCUAAAAGCCCACAUUUGACGGAUAAGAAAGAUGAAAAAAGGCCAUGGGUUUUACGAGCAAAGGAAGAAACAGUCCAAAUUGGGAGUACAGCUUUGGAACCAAAUCAUUCACUGCCUCAGACUCUUAUUUAUAUAAGUUGUGGAUGGGAAAGCUUCAAGGAGGAUUGCAAGAUGUUACUGUCUAGCAAUGCGUGGCAUUUGGCGAAGGCCCAUGGUUUUAAUUUCUUUCCUGGCACCCAGAGUAUUGAGGUUUUGGCCAUUUUCAAGAGGGGACAGGGAGUGCCCCAGAAGAAAAAGAAAGUGUUGAAGAAGAAAAAGAAACCAACUGUGAGAGUUGCAUCAAGUCAUCAUAUUAGGUAGAAUUUUCAAGCAUAUCCCAGAGUCGGAGUUGUAUCAGAAUAUACGAUUUUGUGAUUGAACAAAGAGCAACGACGAAAUUCUCGAGAGAAUCGAGAUUUUUCGUCUUUUCGAUGUUCCUCUCGUGUAGAAUGACUCUUGCCAUCCUCUGGAAAGGGGUAUCUAAUUUGAUAAUGCUCCUUGCAGGCUAUCUUCCUCCUCCAAGUGAGCUCUUAGGAUGAGACUAUGAAGUGCUCGAAACAAUACAACUGCAGUUCGUGGUUCUGAAUCAUAAAAAUUGAGGAAAAUUCUUUGAAAACCAGAAUCAUCUAUACUGCAUUGCCUUCAAAUGGUGAGUCAAAUUUAGCCUGUGGAUUACGUGUUCUUCCUAAAUUAUAAGUCUGAAAGAUUUCUUACU